GCUAUACAUGCAAGUCGAGCGAACUGAUUAGAAGCUUGCUUCUAUGACGUUAGCGGCGGACGGGUGAGUAACACGUGGGCAACCUGCCUGUAAGACUGGGAUAACUCCGGGAAACCGGAGCUAAUACCGGAUAACAUUUUUUCUUGCAUAAGAGAAAAUUGAAAGAUGGUUUCGGCUAUCACUUACAGAUGGGCCCGCGGUGCAUUAGCUAGUUGGUGAGGUAACGGCUCACCAAGGCAACGAUGCAUAGCCGACCUGAGAGGGUGAUCGGCCACACUGGGACUGAGACACGGCCCAGACUCCUACGGGAGGCAGCAGUAGGGAAUCUUCCGCAAUGGACGAAAGUCUGACGGAGCAACGCCGCGUGAGUGAUGAAGGCUUUCGGGUCGUAAAACUCUGUUGUUAGGGAAGAACAAGUACAAGAGUAACUGCUUGUACCUUGACGGUACCUAACCAGAAAGCCACGGCUAACUACGUGCCAGCAGCCGCGGUAAUACGUAGGUGGCAAGCGUUAUCCGGAAUUAUUGGGCGUAAAGCGCGCGCAGGCGGUUUCUUAAGUCUGAUGUGAAAGCCCACGGCUCAACCGUGGAGGGUCAUUGGAAACUGGGGAACUUGAGUGCAGAAGAGAAAAGCGGAAUUCCACGUGUAGCGGUGAAAUGCGUAGAGAUGUGGAGGAACACCAGUGGCGAAGGCGGCUUU
Molecule: ribosomal RNA, 699 nt
Filed under: Bacillus sp. 726(2011)
Lineage: Bacteria; Bacillati; Bacillota; Bacilli; Caryophanales; Bacillaceae
Description: bacterial SSU rRNA
Rfam family: Bacterial small subunit ribosomal RNA
Source: RNAcentral